Mytilus trossulus (common blue mussel) is the source of this 643-nucleotide long non-coding RNA. RefSeq lists it as uncharacterized. NCBI's taxonomy places the organism in Eukaryota, Metazoa, Mollusca, Bivalvia, Mytilida, Mytilidae. The transcript is spliced from 3 exons. The record is from RefSeq and is a predicted model, not a curated record.
GACCCUGUAAAUACCAACUAACACAUUAAAAUCUGGUUUUAUGAGAGAAUUUUGUGGUUAUGAGUCUUACUAGAUACAUCAUUCACCUUCAUUGAAAUGUGCUAACGAUUUUUUCGAUUUUCAAAAUAUCCCCCCUUUUUUCCCGCACAGACAUAAUUAAAAUUAUUUGCACCAAAAUAUCCAAGAAAAUAUUACAAAUUCAAAUUAAAUGUUCUCAUAUAAAUAUUUUAAAUGAAUAUUUAUUGUUUAAUAUAUACCAUUAUCAAGUUUUGUCAUUUAUUAUUUUUAAUAAUUUUAUAAUCGUUUUAUAAUAGUGCACGUUCAGCAGUCCUCGGGUUUUACCGCCGCAUACUACGAAAACUCUGAGCCUGCGCACUUACCGCCUGAAUUUUGAAAACAGUGAUAAAAGUUGCAGUGAAAUAUUUAUCUCGAUUCAGAUUCCAGAACAAAGAAAAAGAAUCUUGUAUAAAAAUCCACAGAUCCAAUGUGUGAUCAUGUGUCUACAAUGUAAGCAUGUACAUGUACCAGAUCAAAAAGAUGGACCAAGAUAUAAAAAGAUACCGAAAACCAACACAACACCAGCUGAUGAGAGGGCAGAAAACCAAAACUUUGAAUGCCAUGUAUACAACCAACACAAGACUAG